UUUUGUGAUGGGACAGCUAGUGCUCCAGUUAGGACCAUACCAGUCUCAGAAGUUAAAUUUGGCUAGUACUUGGAUGGGAGACCAGCUGGGAAUCCUGUAUCCCACAGA
This 108-nucleotide ribosomal RNA is filed under the name Crocodylus porosus (Australian saltwater crocodile). The record is from RNAcentral. Lineage: Eukaryota; Metazoa; Chordata; Crocodylia; Crocodylidae.